This 13753-nucleotide long non-coding RNA is filed under the name Zea mays. RNAcentral's name for it is "long non-coding RNA (ZMAY_LNC000397)". Lineage: Eukaryota; Viridiplantae; Streptophyta; Magnoliopsida; Poales; Poaceae. The record is from RNAcentral.
CGAGUCUUUUCCAACCCUAAUCCUCCACAAGCCGACCACCAAGGUCAAGGCAAUCGUUUCUCAAAUUUGCUCAAAGAGCAGGUAAUACAAACUUCUUGGGGUUGUCGUCCACAAAUUUGGAGACUCCCAAGCAACCUCUAACCAUCAAGGAACACAAGGCUCCAAGAGUAACAAAUCCACACAAGGUUAAGUUUGCAAUGAGCUCAAGAACAAAGAGAAUGGGAGAAUCAAGAUGAAAUUGACAACGUGUUAGAUCGACUUCACCUCACACCAAGGAUCCUUCAAGCGAUUGAAGGAGAUGCGAUUUCGGGUGUGAGAUGUGAAUUGAAUGCCCUUGUUUGGAGUUUGGUCAGCUGAGAAAUCAUGGAGAGAGCAGGAGUAAUGAAGAGAGAGAGUGUGGGGGUAUUUAAAGGAUCCCCCAAAAGCUGGCAGUCGUUGGGAGAAAAGAACCGAAAACCGGUUGAACCGGUUUACAAACCGGUUGAACCGGUUUACAAACCGGUUGAACCAGUUUCCACCAGGAAGAUCUCGGUUCACUGAUCUACUCAGCCGGAGACUCGACCGGAUUCAAAACUGGUUGAGCCAAGAAAAAAUCCGGUUGAACCGGUUUCCAAAGAAUAUCUGCAACGACUUUUCUGACAGCUCUGACUAUUAGACAGGUCAGAGCAGAGGUGGCAGAGAAACAGUCCAGAAACCGGUUGAACCAGUUUCAGGUCCGGUUGAACCGGUUUCAGAGGCUGAAGAGCAAGUUUUGAACAUUCUGAAGUGAACAAAGGUGGAACUCUUGUGGGAAGUAAAAGUGGUUACUCACAAGGCAUUCAUGAUCUAGAGAAGUGUUCUCCAAGAUGAUUUUGAAGGAUUUUGAACUUAGCUCAUUGCAUAACUUACUUAACCAUUGUGGAUCCCUCUUAAUUGAACGAUGAUUCCUAUAACUCAAGAAUUAUAAAAUGAAUACUAACGUUGUUUCCAAGCACUUGGAGCACGCCAUAUGAUGUAGAAUUUAAAUCCAUUGUGCUUUACAUUUUUAUGCUCAUAAGAUUUGUGCUUCUCCUGUCUGUAGAAUAACUGUGUACAUGCUAGGAGCAAACUUGUUAGAAUCUCUGUUUGUUUUGUCAUUUAAUCACCAAAACCCUCAAUUAGGGUUGAUUGCACUUACAAAGUCAGAGUCAUGAUAGAACUCGUGGUUGCACUAUUUCCCUGGGUGGUCACUCCUUGUUCCAAUGAACACAAUAUAAUCUUGCUUAAUCAUCGGAUUAACAACAAUAAUGUAAACUUACCAUUUGGAACAUUAAUAUCAUCAGCAGAGUACCAUCAUAUAGUUAAAGUUAUAGAAAUAGCAUAGCUACUGUGACAGCCCUCUCAAGUUAUCAGGCCCACAUGCACCAAUCCUUGCCAUAAUGGCCUCAGAUAUCUAUGCAUAUGUAUCGGGUAACUUAACAAGGCUAUCGAAUUCAUUAACUUGAACUCAUCAUCCCAAGGAUCUCCCACAAAGCAUGUAUAUUACAGUAAUCACAUUUGAUACACACACACUUCAGAGAUAGAGCGGAAGACUUACAAAACAUUCUUUACAUUUCCAAAACUCAAGUUUUAUAUGCUAGAAAGAGUUAUAGUAUUUACAAGUCCUGAUAGUCUUCAAAGUGCAUAACUUAAUUACAAUACUUGGAAAUGUGAAGCCUUUUCAUAAGGAAUACAUAUAAGAAAACUAAGCUUGAAGACCUCCACAUGAAGCAACUAAUGAAGCCAAAGACAUCAAAACCUUUCCUGCAACAACAUAGGGAAUAAAGCCCUGAGUAGGCAAUUACUCAACAAGACUUACCCGACUAAGGAAAAGACUCUCAAGGGCAUGCUAGCUUUUGGGAAUCAAGGGAAAAGCUCAUCAAUUAUCAAAGACUCUUUUUUGUAGAAAAGCAAGCUUACUAAGUAGAUCCUUAAGCCAAGUUUUACUUCAUAGGUUAGGUUGUUACUUGAAUCUACUAACCUGAAUCUAGAUUUGCCUAAUCUAGAUCAUACACUUGGCCUACACUAGAUUGUUUUUAAUUAAAUCUUGGUUAUACUUGUUAACUACGAUGGAGAGCAGUGAUCCAGUCUUCAUAUCCGAGAAGUAACGGCGAUCCGAAUCGAUUAAUACCUAGCUGGGGAUCUCCAACCACAUGACAUAUGUAGCACUUAACCCUUGCAUAUGUCAACCAUUCCCUCAUAUCAUCCACUACAUGAACUGGUCCGCGCUACCCGGGAGCACAUUACCCUACCAUACAGCCUCUUGCCAAGAGGAUAACUGCUACUCCCACCAUCUCCCACGCCCAGUGCGCGGUUAUCCUUUCACGUAUGGAAUAGCCAGGUUUAAGCUUACCCAUGACGAGGUAUGUGGACAGCUAAAAGGUCCUAGAUCAACAGGCCUACAAUCGGUACGGUCCUUAAUCGACACAGACGGAGACACUACAACCAGACUCCGUUCUGAUGCAUGUCAACCGCCCAGCCUCAAGUUAUUUAUGCUAUUUCUCAAAACAUUUGGCACAUGACAGAGGGGCCAUGCUUGGAUAAUGAAUUCAUCACUGUAGAUGAUGUCUUCAUUAUCCAAAGCCAUUUUUCUUUUGAAAAUUAUGAGUCAUAGAUCAAAAACAUUUUUUAUCUAUCUGCAUGAUUAAGCAUCUCUAGCUUUUAUAAAACAAGUGACAAGGUAUGGUAAUCAAUUAUUUCAAGGAAUGCUAAUGCAUCAAGUGUUUAAUCAAUCAACUCCUAUCACCUAAUGCAUCAUAUAAGUGAUAAAAUUUUGUAAAUACAAGGAACGUGGCAAAUGCACCGGGGCUUGCCUUGUUGCAGAGAAGAUCCAAACCUUUCUACAAUUAGAUGGGUCUCCACCACUGGAUCAACAGUGCUUGGGACAGACUUCUUCAAACACCACUUCUUCUAGGUGUUCUACAAGUCAAUUACCAAUACAAGAAUGCUUAUGUAAUUAUAUGAUAUGCAAACUCUCACAAAGGAGAGGUGGGGAACAUAAACAUCUCUAACUAAGCACAUGACAAGCUUACCUAUACUUAUACCUAACUUAACAUUUGAUCUAAAUGCCUAAACUGAAUUUAGUUGGACAAAUCAGAGGACUAAACAUACUAAGGUUCACUGAAUUUUGCUACCCAACACUUUAUAGGGUCUAACUCCGCUACAACAUAUAUUAACAGGGUGGCUUUUAUAUUUCCUCUUUUAGCUAUUUCAAGGUUCUCUAGGAAAACAAGAUCCAAAUACACUAAAAAUUUUAUCCAGCAAUAUUUUAAACAUAUUAAACCUACUCACAAAGUUUCAGCAUUUUUGAGCUAUAUUUCUAUUUCUAGAUUUCAUUUAAUCCAUCCCAAAGUACUUUUAAAUGGCCUUAAAUUUAUUAACUGCCCUAAAAAUUCCAAAACCAACUCUAACAGCAACUCCUCACUUUUACGAGCUCCACGAAAUUUGUUUCAUAUUUUUUUAAAAAAAAUUACAAAUUUUAAUGGAAUUUACAAGCUGCCAGCAAAUGAAUAAAAGAAACAGAUGAAUAGCCACUAGGCCGGAUUUGGCCCACUCGGCCUGAGCACCGGGGCAAACUGGCCCAUGGCUGGCCGCCCGCACCCGCGCUGGCAUCUUUGCACAAAAACCCCUCCACCCAGAGCAAUUAGAUCGAGCCCAAGCCGCUGUUGACCUGGGUCGCUGACAGUUUCACGUAGACCCUUCCACUUCCUUCCUUUUAUAAUUCCUCGGCCACGACUCCCCGCCGACGAGCUCCAGCCAAAACCCGAGUAGAACCCCCGAUGGUGACCCUCUCUGGCGAGACCAAGCACUACCGCGCGAUACCAGCACCUAGCCGAACACAUCCCCAAAGCUAAUCGGAUCAAAACGGCUCAAACCACCGUUGACCACGGUGGUGGCGGAAACCGAGCUCCGGCGAGCGCGAUUCCCCGGCCACAACGCAGUAGCGCUCAAACCAACGGCACAACAAGUUUCAGGAGACCACAAAAGACACGAUGCUCACAUAAGCUGGCUCGGAGAAGUCGUGAAUCGACCGGUCGAUGAUGGGGUAGAUCUUGAUGGCGCUCCGCAACGUCGCGAACACGUUCUGCACAACGGAGCACGGCAGAGUUAACGCUGCCAACACAGGGAGCUCUAGUGACCCCAAAGAGAUCUUGGAACAUGUAUUAUACAGGCCUGCAAACUUCUGAGGUGGUCCGGCCACGGCGAAGUGGUGUUUUCGGUGGAUGUGGUCACCACUUCCAGGGGCAGCUUCGGUUCAGGCACUGCAAAGCAACACAUGAGCUGGGGAAAAGCUGAGGGCUUGAUCAAGGCAUGGAGGAAUGGUCAGGCAUGAUGAUCCUGCUAGUUGAAUAACAGGAGCAUAGCAGGACUCUGUUUGUACUACUAAAGACCAUGGCAAGCCAUCCAAGGAGAGCCUGUUUGUUGUGGCGAGACUGGAACCUAGCAGGGGAAAACAAGGGGUAAUAUGUUUCACUUAUCUUCUGCAUGUCUACUACGCAAGGCAUGACACAGGGAGAUAGUACUGGUGUCUAACAACACUUGGAUAGCAGCAAUACAGCAGCAAACAGCCCAGCCAGCAUUUGGAUAAGUUUACCACCUCCUCAUCACUUCUAUGUGUGUGCAUGGGUGCCAAGUACCCCCCUUCAGUAACAAAUCUCCUUAGAUGCCAAACACCAGAAGCCCCUCGAGUAGAUAGUGGCUACAGAUAUUUUUUUCUCAGAUAUUUCUGGAGCAGCACUGAACUGCUACUACUUGACUGCAUACUCUACUUCUUCCCCUUUGAUCUCCCAGUUUUCCAUAGCAACAGUGGGAGCACACAUAAAGGAAUCUGUCCACCAAACAACCCUCUACCAACUUGUCAUAAGGAUUAUGGCUUUAUACCCCAUGGAUUAGUCACAAAAUAGCUCCAAAAAAAUUGGAAAAUCACACUAGACCAAAGCUACAGUUGAUUCAGUCACCGCAGACUGAAAGUCCAACUUUGGACAGCCAUUACUUCACUUUUGGUGUGGGAUCACGCCCAACAUACUUAAAGGCACUUAUUCACUAACAUAUGGUCUUCAAACUUUCUACCAAAACUUAAGUCCAAAACCUUAUUAAUUAAGCAGAACAAGCUCCCCAAACAGCACUCCCAACACUGAUUUAGAAUUCAGACACUAUGCAAAAUCUGAAAAAAAAUUCCAGAAGUCUGACAGCCCCUAUUUUAAGCAACUAUUACUCCACUUUUUAUGUAGUACCAAGCCAACCUUCCCUAAAGGAACUUAUUCACUGAUAUACACUCUUCAACUUUGACACAAGGAGUAUGUCUCACAACUCUAUGGAUCAUAUUCAAAAGGGUUUCCAAAUUGCACCAAAACACACAGUUUGAGGUUCUGGUUUUUUUCACUGUCUGAAUUCCAGAACAGCACUUUGCAUUUUUGGGCCAUUGUUUCUCCCAGUUCCAUACAGCUUUAGGGGCAUAACCUUUAACCAAACUUAUACACCAACAUGUGGUAUUCCACUUUGGUACAUAAACUUUAACCCAUAGCUGUAUGUAUCAGCCACUAACAGGCCUCCAAAGUUGCUUCAGAAUAUAAAAUCUUCAGUUUCAGAGAUUGCACUAAGUCUGAAACUCCACAAGUAUUACAACCCCAUUUUGGACCAGUUUUACACCCAGUUGCACAUGGUUUUAGGGGCAAGUUGUCUAAGCAAAUUUGUAUCCCCAGUGUAACUCUACAACCUUGUUAUAAUGUCCACCUUUAAACUGUUUAUAGAUCAAAAGUUAUGAGGACCCAAAAACAGCUAGUUGAUAUUAUUUUCAGCAAACUUCAAAUCUGAUUCAAAACUGAAUUAAGCAUUUUACUCCAACUUUUCCUCUAAAACAUGGAGUUCUCCAUACAUGAAAGUUAUUCAGCUCUCCAAAAUCUACAACUUUGAUAUAUGGACUCCUAGCAAAUUCUCUCUAGAUUUAAGAUUCCACUUUUGGGCUACUUUAGUGUUUCAUUCGAAAUUGCUUUUCUCUAGUCAAGUCUCUCAUCUUUUGUCCAUCACUUAAAAGUAAAGUUGCCCUUUAACUCAAGGCCUAACUUUGAUACAUAGUUCCCAUGGCCAAAGCAUUUUUAUCUUAGGAGCGGUUUACUUGCACUUGAUCUCUCAUUAACUCUCAAACUUCUCUAGCUCUCAACAAGACAACACACUAUCCUCGAAAUUUUUAGACCUAGUAGAUGCACUCUAGGUGUAUCAAGCAAGAUGAUGAUGAUGCAUGUGAUGUCAUGCCAACGUUUUAGUUCUCGUAACACCUAGGGUGUUACAGCCUUCCCCCCUAAAAAGGAAUCUUGUCCCGAGAUUAAAAAUCCUAGCUCAGUAAUGGAAGAGGAAAUGCAUCACAAUCUUAUUCCACAUUUGUUCUUACAAGACAUGGGGUGUACCCCUGUUGGUCUACAUCAAAUACAAAAUACACAUGGCCUAAGAUUUACAGGGAUCUAAAAACUGAGAAAAAUGCUCUAUUAGAUAGUCUUCUGAUUCCCAUGUAGCCUCAUCCGCGGAGUGUUGGUUCCAUUGUACUUUGGCAAUCAGCCAGCUGGGCCUUCAAGAAAUUCCUCUCAAAGGGAAAGCCUACACUUGGUCAAAUAUGCAACGGCAUCCUUUGCUAGAGAAGCUUGAUUGGUGCUUUGUCUUGCAGGUAUGGUCUACCAAAUUCCCUGCUACUUAUGCUCAUUCACUUGCUCGGGGAGCCUCGGAUCACGUCCCUUGGGUGACCAAUGUUCAAAUUAACGUUCCUAAACCGCCCAUUUUCAAGUUUGAAAAUUAUUGGUUACAACUUGAAGACUUUCAUUCAAUCUUCCAAGACUCUUGGGCUCAACCAUUGUUUCAGCCAGAUCCAGCGAAAAGGCUCAUGGCUAAGCUUAAAAGGACAAGAAAAGCGAUUCAAGGCUGGCAUAAAUCACUUCCUAAUCUAGCUAAGCUGAUUGACAAAGUCAAAAUGGUUAUUCAGCUACUAGAUUUCAUUGAGGAGAGCAAAGAUUUAACGAUUCAUGAAUGGAACUUUAAAGAUAUUCUUGUUCACCAUUUACAAGAUCUUCUGUCUAAACAACGAACCUAUUGGAAGCAAAGAGGCCAAAUCAAAUGGGCCACCUUGGGUGAUGCUGGCACAAAGUUCUUUCACGCAAAUGCUACCGUCAAGCAUCGUCAUAACCUUCGUCGCUCAAGGAUGCUAACGGCAAUGUCGCCAUCUCUCAUGCAGAGAAAGCAGAUGUGCUUUCUCAGCCAACGUCUAUGGUUUUUAAUUUAUCAUCCUUGAUUCAGCCGAUUGGUAACCUGUCAGAACUUGAGACCCCCUUUUCACAUCAAGAGAUUGAUCAGGUCAUCAAAAACCUGCCAACAAAUAAAUCACUAGGUCCGGGUGGGUUUAACACGGACUUUAUGAGGAAAUGUUGGCCGGUAAUUGCUCCAGAAUUCUAUGAAUUAUCUGACAAGUUCUUUGAAGGUUCAAUCUGCAUGCAUAGCAUCAAUGGUUUCUAUGUGACUCUCAUCCCCAAAAACAGCUCUCCUGCUUCAGUUGGUGACUAUAGGCCUAUCUCCCUCCUUAACACAAGUGUAAAAGUGCUGACAAAACUUCUAGCUAAUCGAUUGCAGCAUGUGAUUACCAAGUUAGUUCACCAGAAUCAAUAUGGCUUUUUAAAGGCAAGGUCAAUUCAGGAUUGCCUAGCCUGGGCUUUUGAAUACAUUUCCCUUUGUCAUAAGUCAGAAAAGAAAUGUCAUUCUAAAGCUGGAUUUUGAAAAAGCUUUUGAUAAAUUAGAGCAAGCAGCUAUUAUUGGCAUAUUGAGACACAAGGGGUUUGGAGACAAAUGCUUCACUGGAUCUCAAUGAUUCUGGACUCUGGUACCUCUGAAGUGCUUUUGAAUGGUGCCCCUGGGAAACGUUUUCACUGCAAGCGUGGAGUCAGACAAGGGGACCCCCUUGUCCCCCUUCUCUUUGUCCUUGCGACAGAUCUCCUAGAGUCGAUUGUUAACAAAGCUCGUGAUUGUGGCAUCCUUAGGCUUCCUCUUCCGAACGCAUGUGGAACUGACUUCCCUAUUAUUCAAUAUGCGGAUCACACUUUGAUAAUGGAGGCUUGCUCUAAACAACUUUUCUUUCUAAAGGCGAUGCUUAAUUCAUUUGCUGAAUCUACAGGUCUUCAUGUCAACUAUCACAAAUCCAAUAUAUAUCCCAUCAAUGUCUCAGACCAGAAAAUGGAAAUUUUAGCAAAUACGUUCCAUUGCAAGAUUGGAUCAAUGUCGUUCACCUACUUAGGGCUUCCCUUGGGAUUAAAAAGACCCAACCUGGGAGCAUUCCUUCCACUCAUUCAGAAGAUAGAAAGAAGACUUGUGUCAAUUUCUGUUUUUAUCUCAGGCUGGCAGACUGCAAAUGGUUAACUCGGUAUUCUCCUCUCUACCAACAUAUUACAUGUGCACCCUCAAACUCCAAAAAAUGGUGAUUAAGCAUAUUGACAAAUUCAGAAGACGCUGCCUAUGGAGAGGAGCAGAUAUAAAUGCAAAGAAACCCCCUCAAGUAGCAUGGAAAACAGUCUGCAAGCCGAAAGCUCAGGGGGGUUGGGUGUCAUCAACCUAGAAUUGCAAAACAAAGCCCUCCUUAUGAAGAACCUUCACAAAUUUUACAACAGAGCUGACACUCUGUGGGUCAACAUUAUCUGGGCCAACCACUACAGCAAUUCGCUACCUUCAGAUAAAUCAGUAGGCUCAUUCUGGCGAAGAGACAUUCUUAAAAUUCAAGAAUCUUAUAAAGAGUUAGUUGUCACACCCGGUUUUGGAAGGUAAACCGAAUGUGAACCAUGUACGUGCCAGGAUCAGAACUCACGUACACAGUGUUUACAUAAUUGGACAUCAUCACACAGUGCUCGAAUUAAAUAACCAAAAGGUACUUAAUUACAUCAAGAUGUCUGAGACAUCCACAGAGUCUAAUACAUAUCCAUAGUGUUUAACAUUAACAUCAAAGUGCGGAGUAACGAAACGUAGAAGAUAAGCCUACACAGGCAGCUGACUGGGGGUUUGCCACUAAAGUAAACUAGAACUCGUCGUAGUCCUGGAACUCCUCAAAGUCCUCCAUGUUGCCAGCAUCACCUCCUGAGCACUUAGUACAGUGGGGACAACCUGGGGUGGGGUGGUUUGUAAAGCAAGGGUGAGUACACAUCAACGUACUCAGCAAAUGUCCCGUUUGGAUAAAGUGGACUAGCUGUAUGUGGGGUUGAGGUUAAGCAGUUGCUUUUAGUUGGUCAAGUAUCAUUAUUAGUAGAGCCAAGUUUUAGUAAUAAACCCCGUUAUUACCCAAAAGUACUCCCUCAAAAGAGGAAAUACCAGAGAUCAGAUUUAUAACAUCAUUGUUAACCAUCAUCAUAAAAGUAUUCAAAGUUCUUCUAAUCAAAGAGGAUCCCAAGGCUGCUCUUAACCAUGAGCUCGGCUGAUAUACCAGUUUCUAACACUCUGCAGAGGUUGCACACUUUACCCACGAGUCGUGAUCCCUUUCCAGCCUGGGUUGUACAGACCCGAUCUUCACUACCGAGGUGAAUGGCCAGGGAUACACUACGUAGCCUUUACGAAGACUCUCCUAGUGCAUAGCUGCUCGUUAGGUUUCACCAGUCGUACAAACGCAGUACACCUCCCCAAGGUGGGUGACUAACAAAACCAAAUCGAAUGAACCUCUGCACCCCCCUUGGCAGAGCGAGCACUACGCCCCGGCCCCCAUUGACGACCCUUCCGGCAAAGCCAACUGCACCCUCAGGUUCAUCUAAUUAAUCAGCUAAGAGUGUCCCAUUCCACCCUCAUGGUUGCACUGUUAUCCCGGGUGGUCACUCCAUGAACAUGUCAUUACGGAGAGGUAUUCAGGAAAAUGGCCUGAGUCCCAUAGAGUAUCACAAGAUCAUCAGCAUAAUCAAGAUAACAACAUCGUAUCAUAAAUGUUCACAUCAUGUUCAUUGAUUAAAGUAAAGCAAAAGCAAGAUGCUAACCAUGAUAACCCAAAAAGGUAAACAAGGAUAUGUAAAUAUAGACUAGUCAAUCCUUAGGUUUCAUAAAGUAAUACGGGACAGUAAAUUAUAGAGUAUGUAGGACAUAAUAGGUCAGAGGACACUUGCCUUCACCACGUUGUUGCUCAGGAAGGUCUCCAACAACACACUCGGGAACCUCGGACUGCUCGUUGUCUAAAUAAAGCGAGCAUGCAUUCAAUACAUUUGGAAAGUACAAAUGAACAGCACACCAAACAUGUACAAACAUAGAAAUACAUCUUAAAAAGACACAAUACUAAAUAAGGAAUAAUGAGAUCAAAGUAUAACAUGAACUAUAACAUAAACUAAUUUCAUUUAGAAAUAGAUUAUUAUUUUUUAAGUAUUGCCCACAAUUACAUAACCUAGUUCAAUUUAUUUUAUUGUGACCUAAAAGUUAGACCAAAGGUGAAUUCAUGUAAUACACAUUAUUAAUCUUACAAGAUUAAACAUGUUUUAAUCUCUAGGGUUUUCCCUUUUUAUUUUAUUAAAUAAACAAAUCUAUACAUAUACUAGUUCAUAGUUAACCAUAAAAUUAGAAAGCACAGAAUAUAAAUAGAACUAAUUUAUUUAAACAGAGAAUAAUCCUAUGAACAUUUUGCAAUUUGAAUCACUAAAUUUGGAGUUCAUAUGCAAAAGAUAUGAAAUAAACAAGUUUGGGAAUUCAAAAUAUGAAAAUAGGUCUAAUUCUAUUAAUAUUUAAAAGUCCAGGGUUCAAUCUGCAAGGUUACAGGGGUCUGCGCGCGAAAACCAGGGACGACGGGUUGAUUCUAAACAAAUCGAGGGUCUCUUUAAUACCGCGCGAAGGGGUAUCGGCGAUUCAAACCGUUAGAUUAGAACCGACGGCCGAGAUUAGAUCUGCGGCCGAGGGCACGCGCGCGAGCGAGCGUUGACAGGCGGGCUAAGGGGUGUCAGCGAUCGAGGGGGACAUCGCACUGACCGAUCGGGCCCAGCGCCAGGGGACACGGGCGCUGACAGGCGAGCCAGGGGCAUAGGGCAUGCGUGCGCGAAGCGGUAUCCCACGAUUUGGGUCGUGCGAUCAAGAUCGGACGUCGAAGAUCAGACCGGGGGAGGGUGAACAGCUGCGGGCGGCGCCGCUCCUCCUCGCGACGGUGAAGUCGUCGGAGUUGGGGCAAGUGCGUGCUACGGUGGGUCCGGGGUCGCCGAAAUUGGGCAGAGAGGGGGAGAACGACACGACAAACUCAGUGGCGGGGAAAAGGCCACGAAUCCGAGGUCAGAGAGGGGGAAUGGCGGGGAAAAGGCCUUGGGCGCACCGGAGGAACUCCGGUGAGGGAUUCCGGCCGCGGGGAGGGGGUUUGAGGCGUGCUAAGGCCUGGGAUAGCUUCAGCAGAGGGAGGGGUACCUUAGGGACCAACGCGAGGGCACUGGGCAGAGCUAAUUUGGCCGGUCACCGCGCGGGCGCGGCGGACCGCCACGACCGAACUCCGGCGAAGCCGAAAUUGGUUGACAACAAAGCGAAAAUUGAUUUAUGAUUAACAAAGCACACAAACUAUUGAAAACACAUAAUUACAAAUGAUUAACUUGCUAAAUAUUAUUUCUUGUAUAACAAUCAUAAUUCAAAUUAAACUAUAAAAAUACAUGAACUGUUGGCAACACUAACUAAAAUUCUAAUUAUGAAACUAACAAAGCUAUUUUUUAUUAUUUAGAUUCCUAAUAUACAUUUUAUAACAAACUGUAACACAAACCUACACAUAAAUAAAGGUAGACUAGGAGGGGUAGCUAAUAAAUUUAUAUUUUUUAUACAUAUGUCAUUAUACAUAAUUAUCUCUUAUUUUCUUUGUUACAAUUCUUUUUAAUUUCUUAAUCUAAAAACUAGACAUUAUAACAAAUAUACUAGACAUUAUUAAAGCUAAUAAAAAAACUUAUUUAAAUAAUAUUAGCACAUAAUUAUAAAUCUAUUAUUUAAAAGUGUUUAUUGAAUAAAUAUGAAGCUAACUAUUCAAAUGCUAUAUAAUUUAAAUUUUAAAUAACCAAAUUUCAAAGAACAAAGUGUUGUAGGGGUUAGCGCAUAAUUAACCAUAGAUGAUACUAGAUGAUAGGAGGUAGCGCGUAAAAAAUUGGACUUUUUUCUACCUCUUUUCUACCUCAGAUGAUGUGCAUCGCGGCUUCGAUCGCAGGUAUUUGGCGAGCGAGGUUGAACUGCAGGAGAAGGAGAGGAUGACGACGUGGAGGCGAGGGACAUCCGAGGGUGCUUCGACGAACGGCGGCGGACGACACAACAAAUGACAACGAGGUACUACGACGACGGCAUGGUACUGCGGACGAUGACGGCAUGUCACUAGUACACACAGCCUCUAUAGUGGCGGUUCUAGAGACGUUUUCAGUGGCGCUUUUCAGUGCCGCCAGUGCUAGGGGCCAGUGGAAAUCGCCAUUUCCACUGGCGGUUAUUCAAGAACCGCAAGUGGAAAUAGCAUUUUCACUGGCGGUUUUCUUAAGCAACCGCUAGUGGAAAUGCUAUUUUCACUAGCGGUUUUAUUAAGAAAACCGCUAGUGGAAAUGCUAUUUCCACUGGCGGUUUGUUUUAUUUAGCCGCCAGUGGAAAGUUUUCCCGCCUUUUUUUAAAUUUUCAAUCAGUACUGAAAUUUAUAUAUAUUUACACACACAAACAUAUAUAUAUAUAUAUAUAUAUAUAUAUAUAUAUAUAUAUAUAUAUAUAUAUAUAUAUAUAUUGAUAUUGAUAAACAUGUAGUAUUGAUAUUAAAAGCAACAUGGAAUUAAAUUCUAUCAUACAUUUAUAUACAUCAAAGUCUUGUUUACAACCAUGUAUGCAUCACACAUUAUAUACAUCAAAGUUUUCACUUAAGCUCUAAUAACUAUCUCGGCUAAGAGAUAGUCUACUAAUUUCUGUUAGUAUUCUAAACUCUGGCAAAGCUAAUGUUCCGGAAGCAUCGUGAUAUUUCCCUUCUGCGUGAAUGACCUCUUUCAAUAUGAAUGUGCACAGGUCCUCAACUAUGCCAUACAAUGCACCUUCAGUCAAAUUCUCCGGGCUUCCUUUUUGAAAUUGCUGUAAAGGAAGUUUAUAAACAUCAUCUAUUUAUACUCAAUAAUAACACAUUUGCAUCCUUAAUGACAUAAAUACAUAUGUGACUAUUACUAAUAAUACCUUGCCAGGGUUCGUGAUGUAUCGUCCGUUCAUUCUCAUGAACUCGCACACGUAGAACCCACAUAAGACCGACCCGGGUGGUUGCUUGUGGCACUACAUAACGGGAGAUUGGUUAUUUAGUUGCAACAUUGUCCUAUGUACGUACAUGUAUGAUAUGUAUUCAUAAUAGGGAUUGCAAUUUUUCUUGCAUUUUUGUUUUUUCGCUCAAACUCAAAGGGGAAACUUUGCUUCUUAUCUUUUUUUUGAGGAUCGACGAAUCAAAUAAUAUUUUUGUUCUAAUUUCUGCCGCUUCUUCUCCCUCUGAAUCAAACUUUUUUUUACCAUAAUGUGUCGUUCCUAUUAUUACCAAGUAUAUGGUUCUAAUCCUAGAUAGAAAAAUCAAUAGCAAAAAUCUAAAAAGGCGGAUCCUCCCUCUCCAUCAAGAGUAAUGAACUGGGUUCUGAUACAGUACAAAAAAAUAACUAAAUUAACCAAACUUGCCUGAUGUUGAGGCAAUCAAGAAAGCUGCAUAAGUGAAUAUAUAACCCACGGAAAAGUGGGCUAAUCCGACCAAUCUUGCUUGCACAAUGGAAAGAGCCACGGGCUUAUCUCUCCAGCGAAUUAAAUUAGCCAAAGGUGU